RNAcentral lists this long non-coding RNA (1344 nucleotides) under Anas platyrhynchos (mallard). RNAcentral describes it as "lncRNA (ENSAPLG00020005939.1)". The record is from RNAcentral. Lineage: Eukaryota; Metazoa; Chordata; Aves; Anseriformes; Anatidae.
AUGCAAAUGGGGCCGCCCGGAGGCUCUGCGGGCUGCAAGCAUCCUGGCUGCAAGCCCUGCACCCCCCCCCCCGUGUCCCCCCCUGCGCCCCCCCUGCGCCCCCCUGUGCCCCUUCCCAAACCUUGGUGCUGCCAUUCCCUCGCUCUCCCCCCGGGGCAUCCAUGGGGUUGGGGGGCAAUUCCCCGAGAUGUGGGAUGUGAGACACGGGAACAGGCAGGGUGGGGGCCACGGAGACCCCCCCCAUUAUUACUCCCCGCUAUAAAUACCCGGUGGGCUCAGCUGUGGCUCCGCUCCGAAACCGGAGCCGACGGGGAGGCAGCUGCCAGGGAAAGUGAUCGGGAGCGUGGGGAGCGUGGGGCAGGGCUGGCCCCCUGUCCCCCUGUCCCCCAGGGCAGUGGGGGGCUGGGGCUGUCCCUCCUGUCCCCCACAGGGACACACAGACAGGGGGGGCACCCCUGGGGGGCCACGCGUCGCCUCGCCACGGCUGUGCCAGGGGGUGCUCGGCCCCGCUCCCCAGAAGAGGGUCGACCAGGGGGGGGCUUCUCCGUGGUAAAUUUAGCUCAAGGGACACGCCGGGCUGAGGAAUUCGGCAGCACAGCCGGAUUCAGCCUGGAACGGGGACGUGGAUCCCGCAGAGCUUCCCCUGGGGGGGUGGCAGCCCCAUGUCCGGCUCCCUGGGGAGCCCCCAGCACCCCACAAACCAUCAUUAUUCCAGGAUCCCUCGGGUGCGCGCUGCCUCCCCAGCCAGGCCGCCCUGACUCACCGGCCACAUCCUGUCCCCAAAUCCCUGCGUGGCCAGCACGGCCCUGGGUGGGGUUCUCCCAAACCUGCCCGGCCUCUUUUGGAGGAGCCGAGCGGGUUCUGUGUGUGGGGUGGGGGCUCUGGGCACCCUGCAGGGAGCGGGGUUGGGCCGGGAGCUGCUGCAGCCCCGCCGCCACGUGCUGUGCGCGGCACAAAUCCCUGCUUCCUGCGAGCAUCCCGCAGCCCUCCCGCGCCCCCCGUGUCCCCAAGUGGGGGCUCCCUGGGUGCCCUUGGAGCCCCCUUCCCCAGCAGCACGGCACCAGGACCCCCUCCUGCCUCUCCUCCCGCGAGGAACCCGGGGCUGCAGGAGCCCGCAGCCGCGCGAGGCUGCCCGGGGAGAACACGCGGGGCGCUUUCAUCUUCAAAGCUCUCCCUGCGCCGCCUUUCAUCCCCUCGCCUCCCCGGUGCCUGGGAGGUCUCCGCUAUCUCCUCCUCAUCUCGCAACCCCGGAGCAGCGAGGACACGGCCAAGCUCCGAGGAGUUUCGCUGCAGAGGGCGCGAAGGCAGCGCCCGGCAGGGCUGCGCGCUUGGCAGCGGCGCUGA